AGUCCUGAUUCACAAUUCGAUGCACAUAAUGAAAAAGAGUGCAGAGCAGAGUGUUUGAACAAUUGCCAAUGCCAAGCUUACUCAUAUGAGGAAGUUGAUACACUUCAAAGCAAUACCAAGUGCUGGAUUUGGUUGGAAGAUCUCAACAAUCUCAAGGAAGGCUAUUUAGGUAGCCGCAAUGUAUUCAUUCGCGUUGCAGUUCCCGAUAUAGAGUCGACCAGUAGAGAUUGUGUGACCUGUGGCA
Molecule: non-coding RNA, 244 nt
Organism: Camelina sativa (false flax)
Lineage: Eukaryota; Viridiplantae; Streptophyta; Magnoliopsida; Brassicales; Brassicaceae
Source: RefSeq, a predicted model, not a curated record